Molecule: long non-coding RNA, 607 nt
Organism: Fukomys damarensis (Damara mole-rat)
Lineage: Eukaryota; Metazoa; Chordata; Mammalia; Rodentia; Bathyergidae
Exons: 3
Source: RefSeq, a predicted model, not a curated record
GGAGCGAGAGGAGGACCGCCAGAGAGUCAGUGAGGUCCGGCCACUCGGGUGCGCGCUGUGCGUGGCUGCCAUUUUGGAGUCGGGCAGCUGUGACUGUGGCCGGGUCCGGCCGGGAGAAAGGGAGGAGCCAGUCAGGUGGGAGAGAGGCGGUCACGUGGAUUUGAGAGGCGGGGAGAAGCGGGCUGCUGCCUGAGGGGCUGGGGCGGUUGUUGCGAGUCACGGGGGCUGAGGACUGUCACGUGGCUGCAGGAGGACUAGCGGUGGGUUUAGGGUUGGGAAGGUCAGCCUGAGGUGGGAUCCAGGAGAGCGCUUUGUCCUCGCUUUCAACUCUGAGAAGGGGAAAGAGGAAAAUGCUGAAUGGACGACUAUUGCCAUCUACUCCACUUAUCUAAGGCUGAAACUGGUAAUAAUUCUCCAUCUACUUCCUCACUGGUCCAACAUCUCCUUAUCUGCUAUCGUUUGGAUCUGGAAUGUUCCCCAGGAGCCCUUGGCCUACAAUAUUGAGAGGCACAGGAAGGGAGAGCUUGCUUAAGAAUGGAACUAGCUGAGCAUGGUGGCACACACCUAUAAUCUGAGGCAAGAGGAUUGAAAGCUUGAGCCCAGCCUG